Molecule: non-coding RNA, 806 nt
Organism: Pelobates cultripes (western spadefoot toad)
Lineage: Eukaryota; Metazoa; Chordata; Amphibia; Anura; Pelobatidae
Source: the annotation of a GenBank genome assembly
CAGUAAGUUUCAAAACACUUUAUAGGUUGCAAAGAACUGAAAAUUGUCAUUUGUUGUGUUUGCAGCAUAUUUACUGAAAUCAAAAGCUAUUUCAAUCAAACUUAUAACAACAUUUUAACUUUUUAAACAUUUUAACAGGUCACAUUACAUUUUAACAUUUGACCCGUUAUAUGAUAGCAGCUUCACAAGUCUUGCAUCCAUUGAACUUGUGAGUUUUUGGACAGUUUCUGCUUGAAUUUGUUUGCAAGAUGUCAGAAUAGCCCCCCAGAGCUGCUGUUUGGAUGUAAACUGCCUCCCACUCUCAUAGAUAUUUUGCUUGAGGAUGUUUCAAAGGUUCUCACUAGGAUUGAGGUCAGGGGAGGAUGGAGGCCACAUCACGACUUUCUCUCCUUUUAUCCCCAUAGCAGCCAUUGAUGCAGAGGUAUUCUUUGGAGCAUGAGAUGGUGCAUUGUCAUGCAUGAAGAGGAUUUUAUUACGGAAAGCAUAGUUCUUCCUUCUGUACCAGGGAAGAAAGUGGUCAGUCAGAAACUCCACAUACUUUGUAAAGGUCAUCUUAACACCUUUGGGGACCCUAAGGGGGCCGACCAGCUCUCUUCCUAUGAUUCCGGCCCAAAACAUGACUCCACCUCCGCCUUGCUGACGUCGCAGCCUUGUUGGAACAGGGUGGCUUUCCACCAACCAUCCACUACGCCAUCCAUCAAGUUCAGCAUAUAGCUCAGCUGUACCGCUUUCAGAACGCCUGGCUUCUGGAUAGGCUCCGCACCCUUGAGCGGUACAGCUGUGUUAUAUGCUGAACUGGAUGGCAC